UAGCGGCGGACGGGUGAGUAACACGUGGGUAACCUGCCUCAAAGAGGGGGAUAGCCUCCCGAAAGGGAGAUUAAUACCGCAUAACAUUAUUUUAUGGCAUCAUAGAAUAAUCAAAGGAGCAAUCCGCUUUGAGAUGGACCCGCGGCGCAUUAGCUAGUUGGUGAGGUAAGGGCUCACCAAGGCGACGAUGCGUAGCCGACCUGAGAGGGGGAUCGGCCACAUUGGAACUGAGACACGGUCCAGACUCCUACGGGAGGCAGCAGUGGGGAAUAUUGCGCAAUGGGGGAAACCCUGACGCAGCAACGCCGCGUGAGUGAUGAAGGUUUUCGGAUCGUAAAACUCUGUCUUUAGGGACGAUAAUGACGGUACCUAAGGAGGAAGCCACGGCUAACUACGUGCCAGCAGCCGCGGUAAUACGUAGGUGGCAAGCGUUGUCCGGAUUUACUGGGCGUAAAGAGUAUGUAGGUGGGUGCUUAAGUCAGAUGUGAAAUUCCCGGGCUUAACCUGGGCGCUGCAUUUGAAACUGGGCAUCUAGAGUGCAGGAGAGGAAAGUGGAAUUCCUAGUGUAGCGGUGAAAUGCGUAGAGAUUAGGAAGAACACCAGUGGCGAAGGCGACUUUCUGGACUGUAACUGACACUGAGAUACGAAAGCGUGGGUAGCAAACAGGAUUAGAUACCCUGGUAGUCCACGCCGUAAACGAUGAAUACUAGGUGUCGGGGGGUACCACCCUCGGUGCCGCAGCAAACGCAUUAAGUAUUCCGCCUGGGGAGUACGGUCGCAAGAUUAAAACUCAAAGGAAUUGACGGGGACCCGCACAAGCAGCGGAGCAUGUGGUUUAAUUCGAAGCAACGCGAAGAACCUUACCUAGACUUGACAUCUCCUGAAUUACUCUUAAUCGAGGAAGUCCCUUCGGGGACAGGAAGACAGGUGGUGCAUGGUUGUCGUCAGCUCGUGUCGUGAGAUGUUGGGUUAAGUCCCGCAACGAGCGCAACCCUUAUUGUUAGUUGCUACUAUUAAGUUAAGCACUCUAACGAGACUGCCGCGGUUAACGUGGAGGAAGGUGGGGAUGACGUCAAAUCAUCAUGCCCCUUAUGUCUAGGGCUACACACGUGCUACAAUGGCUGGUACAACGAGCAGCAAACCCGCGAGGGGGAGCAAAACUUGAAAGCCAGGC
Molecule: ribosomal RNA, 1174 nt
Filed under: Clostridium sp. K25
Lineage: Bacteria; Bacillati; Bacillota; Clostridia; Eubacteriales; Clostridiaceae
Description: bacterial SSU rRNA
Rfam family: Bacterial small subunit ribosomal RNA
Source: RNAcentral